This 384-nucleotide ribosomal RNA is filed under the name uncultured bacterium. Its description in RNAcentral is "bacterial SSU rRNA". It matches the Rfam family "Bacterial small subunit ribosomal RNA", at positions 28 to 400 of the family's 1533-position model. The record is from RNAcentral.
AGCGAACGCUGGCGGCGUACUUAACACAUGCAAGUCGAACGAGGAUCAUCGGGUUAGCAAUAAUUCGGUGGUCCUAGUGGCGCACGGGUGAGUAACACGUGGGUGACCUGCCCUUGAGCUCGGGAUACCCCCUCGAAAGGGGGGCUAAUACCGGAUACGUUCCUCGGUCGAAAGACUGAGGAGGAAAGGUGGCGCAAGCUGCCGCUCUUGGAGGGGCUCGCGGCCUAUCAGCUAGNGGCGGGUAACGGCCCACCAAGGCUAUGACGGGUAGCUGGUCUGAGAGGACGGACCAGCCACACGGGGACUGAGACACGGCCCGACUCCUACGGGAGGCAGCAGUGGGGAAUUUUCCGCAAUGGGCGAAAGCCUGACGGAGUGACGCGC